This 2902-nucleotide ribosomal RNA is filed under the name Escherichia coli. RNAcentral describes it as "bacterial LSU rRNA". It matches the Rfam family "Bacterial large subunit ribosomal RNA". The record is from RNAcentral. Lineage: Bacteria; Pseudomonadati; Pseudomonadota; Gammaproteobacteria; Enterobacterales; Enterobacteriaceae. RNAcentral also lists the same sequence under 1 other name.
UUAAGCGACUAAGCGUACACGGUGGAUGCCCUGGCAGUCAGAGGCGAUGAAGGACGUGCUAAUCUGCGAUAAGCGUCGGUAAGGUGAUAUGAACCGUUAUAACCGGCGAUUUCCGAAUGGGGAAACCCAGUGUGUUUCGACACACUAUCAUUAACUGAAUCCAUAGGUUAAUGAGGCGAACCGGGGGAACUGAAACAUCUAAGUACCCCGAGGAAAAGAAAUCAACCGAGAUUCCCCCAGUAGCGGCGAGCGAACGGGGAGCAGCCCAGAGCCUGAAUCAGUGUGUGUGUUAGUGGAAGCGUCUGGAAAGGCGCGCGAUACAGGGUGACAGCCCCGUACACAAAAAUGCACAUGCUGUGAGCUCGAUGAGUAGGGCGGGACACGUGGUAUCCUGUCUGAAUAUGGGGGGACCAUCCUCCAAGGCUAAAUACUCCUGACUGACCGAUAGUGAACCAGUACCGUGAGGGAAAGGCGAAAAGAACCCCGGCGAGGGGAGUGAAAAAGAACCUGAAACCGUGUACGUACAAGCAGUGGGAGCACGCUUAGGCGUGUGACUGCGUACCUUUUGUAUAAUGGGUCAGCGACUUAUAUUCUGUAGCAAGGUUAACCGAAUAGGGGAGCCGAAGGGAAACCGAGUCUUAACUGGGCGUUAAGUUGCAGGGUAUAGACCCGAAACCCGGUGAUCUAGCCAUGGGCAGGUUGAAGGUUGGGUAACACUAACUGGAGGACCGAACCGACUAAUGUUGAAAAAUUAGCGGAUGACUUGUGGCUGGGGGUGAAAGGCCAAUCAAACCGGGAGAUAGCUGGUUCUCCCCGAAAGCUAUUUAGGUAGCGCCUCGUGAAUUCAUCUCCGGGGGUAGAGCACUGUUUCGGCAAGGGGGUCAUCCCGACUUACCAACCCGAUGCAAACUGCGAAUACCGGAGAAUGUUAUCACGGGAGACACACGGCGGGUGCUAACGUCCGUCGUGAAGAGGGAAACAACCCAGACCGCCAGCUAAGGUCCCAAAGUCAUGGUUAAGUGGGAAACGAUGUGGGAAGGCCCAGACAGCCAGGAUGUUGGCUUAGAAGCAGCCAUCAUUUAAAGAAAGCGUAAUAGCUCACUGGUCGAGUCGGCCUGCGCGGAAGAUGUAACGGGGCUAAACCAUGCACCGAAGCUGCGGCAGCGACGCUGAUGCGUUGUUGGGUAGGGGAGCGUUCUGUAAGCCUGCGAAGGUGUGCUGUGAGGCAUGCUGGAGGUAUCAGAAGUGCGAAUGCUGACAUAAGUAACGAUAAAGCGGGUGAAAAGCCCGCUCGCCGGAAGACCAAGGGUUCCUGUCCAACGUUAAUCGGGGCAGGGUGAGUCGACCCCUAAGGCGAGGCCGAAAGGCGUAGUCGAUGGGAAACAGGUUAAUAUUCCUGUACUUGGUGUUACUGCGAAGGGGGGACGGAGAAGGCUAUGUUGGCCGGGCGACGGUUGUCCCGGUUUAAGCGUGUAGGCUGGUUUUCCAGGCAAAUCCGGAAAAUCAAGGCUGAGGCGUGAUGACGAGGCACUACGGUGCUGAAGCAACAAAUGCCCUGCUUCCAGGAAAAGCCUCUAAGCAUCAGGUAACAUCAAAUCGUACCCCAAACCGACACAGGUGGUCAGGUAGAGAAUACCAAGGCGCUUGAGAGAACUCGGGUGAAGGAACUAGGCAAAAUGGUGCCGUAACUUCGGGAGAAGGCACGCUGAUAUGUAGGUGAGGUCCCUCGCGGAUGGAGCUGAAAUCAGUCGAAGAUACCAGCUGGCUGCAACUGUUUAUUAAAAACACAGCACUGUGCAAACACGAAAGUGGACGUAUACGGUGUGACGCCUGCCCGGUGCCGGAAGGUUAAUUGAUGGGGUUAGCGCAAGCGAAGCUCUUGAUCGAAGCCCCGGUAAACGGCGGCCGUAACUAUAACGGUCCUAAGGUAGCGAAAUUCCUUGUCGGGUAAGUUCCGACCUGCACGAAUGGCGUAAUGAUGGCCAGGCUGUCUCCACCCGAGACUCAGUGAAAUUGAACUCGCUGUGAAGAUGCAGUGUACCCGCGGCAAGACGGAAAGACCCCGUGAACCUUUACUAUAGCUUGACACUGAACAUUGAGCCUUGAUGUGUAGGAUAGGUGGGAGGCUUUGAAGUGUGGACGCCAGUCUGCAUGGAGCCGACCUUGAAAUACCACCCUUUAAUGUUUGAUGUUCUAACGUUGACCCGUAAUCCGGGUUGCGGACAGUGUCUGGUGGGUAGUUUGACUGGGGCGGUCUCCUCCUAAAGAGUAACGGAGGAGCACGAAGGUUGGCUAAUCCUGGUCGGACAUCAGGAGGUUAGUGCAAUGGCAUAAGCCAGCUUGACUGCGAGCGUGACGGCGCGAGCAGGUGCGAAAGCAGGUCAUAGUGAUCCGGUGGUUCUGAAUGGAAGGGCCAUCGCUCAACGGAUAAAAGGUACUCCGGGGAUAACAGGCUGAUACCGCCCAAGAGUUCAUAUCGACGGCGGUGUUUGGCACCUCGAUGUCGGCUCAUCACAUCCUGGGGCUGAAGUAGGUCCCAAGGGUAUGGCUGUUCGCCAUUUAAAGUGGUACGCGAGCUGGGUUUAGAACGUCGUGAGACAGUUCGGUCCCUAUCUGCCGUGGGCGCUGGAGAACUGAGGGGGGCUGCUCCUAGUACGAGAGGACCGGAGUGGACGCAUCACUGGUGUUCGGGUUGUCAUGCCAAUGGCACUGCCCGGUAGCUAAAUGCGGAAGAGAUAAGUGCUGAAAGCAUCUAAGCACGAAACUUGCCCCGAGAUGAGUUCUCCCUGACUCCUUGAGAGUCCUGAAGGAACGUUGAAGACGACGACGUUGAUAGGCCGGGUGUGUAAGCGCAGCGAUGCGUUGAGCUAACCGGUACUAAUGAACCGUGAGGCUUAACCUU